RNAcentral lists this long non-coding RNA (536 nucleotides) under Gallus gallus (chicken). Its description in RNAcentral is "lncRNA (ENSGALG00010010802.1)". Lineage: Eukaryota; Metazoa; Chordata; Aves; Galliformes; Phasianidae. The record is from RNAcentral.
GACUGUUUGGAGCUAAAUGCGUGUGCUGCAAGAGUGUGUUAUUAAUGAGAAAAAAGCCUGAAGGCACAGUGACUCCUAGCUCAUGGCCAGCAGACCAUUGCUGUUGUUCUGGGGAAGCAAAUGGGAAAAGCAGAGCCAGCCAAGGAGCAGACAGCCUACACAGGGAUGGAUUUUGCUCCUGGCCCUUUCUCAGGCAAGGCGAGAGCUUUUCCUGAGUGCAACCCACAAGACUGGAUCCACAGCUCCUCCGCCUGCAGCACUUCAAGACUUCCAGGUUGGAGACAAUGCGUCUGGAAAUUUGGGGCACUUCAGACUGGCCUUUGAUCACCAGAGAUCAAGAGUAUUUCCACCCAUACAAGAUGCAAACAUGAUCUCUGCUGUUGUGACACAAGCUGGGGUGAGCUGUCCUUCCAGCUCCUUCUGCAAAAGUGCCAAGAGCAUGACAAGUGGGGUCCAACAUACUGGUUUUGGCCAGCUCUCCCCAAAGCCAACAGGAGCCUUGAGUCAGGCCACAGGUAGGCGCAGGGCUUUGAGCA